AUGAACGUUGGCGGCGUGGAUUAGGCAUGCAAGUCGAGCGAGAACCCAGCAAUGGGGGACAGCGGCGCAAGGGACAGUAAUGUGUAGAUCAUCUGCCCUCAGGCCCGGGAUAGCUGCGGGAAACUGCAGGUAAUACCGGAUAACAUCUCCGGAUCAAAGGUGUGAUUCCGCCUGAGGAUGAGUCUACAUCCUAUUAGCUAGUUGGCAGGGUAACGGCCUACCAAGGCGAUGAUGGGUAGCGGGUGUGAGAGCACGACCCGCGUCAUUGGGACUGAGACACUGCCCAGACACCUACGGGUGGCUGCAGUCGAGAAUCUUCGGCAAUGGGCGCAAGCCUGACCGAGCGACGCCGCGUGCGGGAUGAAGGCCUUCGGGUUGUAAACCGCUAUCAGAGGGGAUGAAGCGAAAGUGACGGUACCUGCAGAAGAAGCGCCGGCUAACUACGU
This 446-nucleotide ribosomal RNA is filed under the name uncultured bacterium. Its description in RNAcentral is "bacterial SSU rRNA". It matches the Rfam family "Bacterial small subunit ribosomal RNA", at positions 29 to 506 of the family's 1533-position model. The record is from RNAcentral.